This 460-nucleotide ribosomal RNA is filed under the name uncultured bacterium. RNAcentral describes it as "partial 16S ribosomal RNA". It matches the Rfam family "Bacterial small subunit ribosomal RNA", at positions 338 to 795 of the family's 1533-position model. The record is from RNAcentral.
CCUACGGGAGUCAGCAGUGAGGAAUAUUUGUCAAUGGACGAGAGUCUGAACCAGCCAAGUAGCGUGAAGGAUGACUGCCCUAUGGGUUGUAACCUUCUUUUAUAAAGGAAUAAAACGAGGCACGUGUGCCUUUUUGCAUGUACUUUAUGAAUAAGGAUCGGCUAACUCCGUGCCAGCAGCCGCGGUAAUACGGAGGAUGCGAGCGUUAUCCGGAUUUAUUGGGUUUAAAGGGUGCGUAGGUGGUUAAUUAAGUCAGCGGUGAAAGUUUGUGGCUCAACCAUAAAAUUGCCGUUGAAACUGGUUGACUUGAGUAUAUUUGAGGUAGGCGGAAUGCGUGGUGUAGCGGUGAAAUGCAUAGAUAUCACGCAGAACUCCGAUUGCGAAGGCAGCUUACUAAGCUAUAACUGACACUGAAGCACGAAAGCGUAGGGAUCAAACAGGAUUAGAUACCCCUGUAGUC